AGCUUUAUAGUCAAUUUAUGAUAUUAGACUGCAAUUCUAAAGGAGUAUUUCUUAUACUAAGGCUU
Molecule: transfer RNA, 65 nt
Filed under: Cerapanorpa brevicornis
Lineage: Eukaryota; Metazoa; Arthropoda; Insecta; Mecoptera; Panorpidae
Description: tRNA-Cys
Source: RNAcentral